Molecule: long non-coding RNA, 787 nt
Organism: Mastomys coucha (southern multimammate mouse)
Lineage: Eukaryota; Metazoa; Chordata; Mammalia; Rodentia; Muridae
Exons: 2
Source: RefSeq, a predicted model, not a curated record
UACUGCCAGAGGACAUGCUGAGUUGUAAACACACUUGCCUGCCUGAGAACUGAGUUUACAGAGAUCAUGGCAUCUUCACAUCUGAGACUGUUUUUACAUUAUGCAUAUAUUUUAUUUCUGGAGUUUUUGGUUUCAUUUCUUACCUGCCUAUAUAAACUCAAAAUAUCCCCAAGUAAAGAGAUGCCUUGAUAAAAAAUUUACUUGGCGUCAGUGUCUCUUUGUUCUCGAACAUUUUAUUUUGCAGGUCCUGUCUAACCUCCAGCUGAAGAGACCCACAGACCUGAGUGGGACUUCGGGCCGGUUUCACUCAGAAGGUUCCCCGGGCAUGCGGCUCAGAUGGGGAGGAAAUAGAGGACACACUGUCGAAGAGCUCUGCAUAAUAAAAGAAAAGAAGGAAAGGGACAUGUGUCUUCCACAUGGGGAAGAUGUUGGUGUUCUCCCCGCUGCCUCAGCUCCAUGGCCAAGCUGACAACCUCCACUGCCUGAGCCUGUAGACAGACACUGUGGGGCUAAACAAUGGUUGCUACACUGACAGGUCUGCCUUUGAAGUCAAGCAACCUGGAGGCCACACUGAGUCACUGACACACCUACUGCCAGAGGACGUGCUGAGUUGUAAACACACUUGCCAGCCUGAGAACUGAGUUUACAGAGAUCAUGGUGUUUUCACAUCUGAGACUUUAUUAAUGUUAUGCAUAUAUUUUAUUUCUGGAGUUUUCAGUUUCAUUCCUUACCAGCCUAUAUAAUCUCAAAAUGCCCCCAAGUAAAUAGAUGUCUUGGUAAAAAUGUA